RNAcentral lists this ribosomal RNA (492 nucleotides) under uncultured bacterium. RNAcentral's name for it is "partial 16S ribosomal RNA". It matches the Rfam family "Bacterial small subunit ribosomal RNA", at positions 29 to 507 of the family's 1533-position model. The record is from RNAcentral.
AGUGAACGCUGGCGGUAGGCCUAACACAUGCAAGUCGAACGGCAGCACAGUAAGAGCUUGCUGUUACGGGUGGCGAGUGGCGGACGGGGGAGGAAGACAUGGGAAUCUACUUUUUCGUGGGGGAUAACGUAGGGAAACUUACGCUGAUACCGCAUACGACCUACGUGUGAAAGCAGGGGAUCUUCUGACCUUGCGCGAUUGAAUGAGCCGAUGUCGGAUUAGCUAGUUGGCGGGGUAAAGGCCCAACAAGGCGACGAUCCGUAGCUGGUCUGAGAGGGAGAACCGCUAGCUUGGCAGUGAGACACGCUACAGACUCCGACGCGGGGACGCGGCGGGGACUCCUGGAGGAUGCGGGAAAGCGUGAUCCAGCCAUACCGGGUGAGUGCAGAAGGACCUCGGGUUCUAAAACCAUUUUGUUGGGAAAGAAAAGAAGCACGUUCAUCCCCGGCUGUUAUGACGGUACCCAAAGAAUAAGCCCCGGCUAACUUCGUG